This 497-nucleotide ribosomal RNA is filed under the name uncultured bacterium. RNAcentral describes it as "partial 16S ribosomal RNA". It matches the Rfam family "Bacterial small subunit ribosomal RNA", at positions 28 to 507 of the family's 1533-position model. The record is from RNAcentral.
GAUGAACGCUGGCGGCGUGCCUAAUACAUGCAAGUCGAGCGAACGGACGAGAAGCUUGCUUUUCUGAUGUUAGCGGCGGACGGGUGAGUAACACGUGGAUAACCUACCUAUAAGACUGGGAUAACUUCGGGAAACCGGAGCUAAUACCGGAUAAUAUUUUGAACCGCAUGGUUCAAAAGUGAAAGACGGUCUUGCUGUCACUUAUAGAUGGAUCCGCGCUGCAUUAGCUAGUUGGUAAGGUAACGGCUUACCAAGGCAACGAUGCAUAGCCGACCUGAGAGGAUGAUCAGCCACACUGGAACUGAGACACGGUCCAGACUCCUACGGGAGGCAGCAGUAGGGAAUCUUCGGCAAUGGGCGAAAGCCUGACGGAGCAACGCCGCGUGAGUGAUGAAGGUCUUCGGAUCGUAAAACUCUGUUAUUAGGGAAGAACAUAUGUGUAAGUAACUGUGCACAUCUUGACGGUACCUAAUCAGAAAGCCACGGCUAACUACGUG